GACGAACGCUGGCGGCGUGCUUAACACAUGCAAGUCGAACGGAAAGGCCCUGCUUUUGUGGGGUGCUCGAGUGGCGAACGGGUGAGUAACACGUGAGUAACCUGCCCUUGACUUUGGGAUAACUUCAGGAAACUGGGGCUAAUACCGGAUAGGAGCUCCUGCUGCAUGGUGGGGGUUGGAAAGUUUCGGCGGUUGGGGAUGGACUCGCGGCUUAUCAGCUUGUUGGUGGGGUAGUGGCUUACCAAGGGUUUGACGGGUAGCCGGCCUGAGAGGGUGACCGGCCACAUUGGGACUGAGAUACGGCCCAGACUCCUACGGGAGGCAGCAGGGGGGAAUAUUGCACAAUGGGCGGAAGCCUGAUGCAGCAACGCCGCGUGCGGGAUGACGGCCUUCGGGUUGUAAACCGCUUUCGCCGGUGACGAAGCGUGAGUGACGGUAAUGGGUAAAGAAGCACCGGCUAACUACGUG
RNAcentral lists this ribosomal RNA (468 nucleotides) under uncultured bacterium. RNAcentral's name for it is "partial 16S ribosomal RNA". It matches the Rfam family "Bacterial small subunit ribosomal RNA", at positions 28 to 507 of the family's 1533-position model. The record is from RNAcentral.